RNAcentral lists this long non-coding RNA (234 nucleotides) under Lathyrus oleraceus (garden pea). RNAcentral's name for it is "Pisum sativum (pea) long non-coding RNA (PSAT_LNC030093)". Lineage: Eukaryota; Viridiplantae; Streptophyta; Magnoliopsida; Fabales; Fabaceae. The record is from RNAcentral.
UUGUUCUUAAAGUGUGUUUAUAUUGCUUAUCUAGAAGCAUCUAGCCAAACACUUGUAAUUCUUGAAAUUGUUUGUGAUUCCUCAAGUGACUUGCUUAGGUCUGUAGACUUGAAAGGGCUAAGAGAUUGUCAAACUCUUAGACAAAUUUUGUAAUCUGUUGAGAUUAGUGGAUUAAGUCCGUAUUGAAGGCGAAAUCACCCUGGCCAAAUGGACUAGAGUAGCUUUGAAUUUUAA